GGUGUUUUAAUAAAAGCGCAUUCUAAACUUUAAGCACUUGUUUUAUUACCAAAAAUUGAAGGUCAGAAUAAUUAUUGUAUGUAAAAGUACUUUAAUAUUUCUGGUCUGUUACCAGGGUUAUUUCUGUUACCAGGGUAACAACACAAAUAGACUUCUGCUGCAGACUGUUUCAUUAUGACAACUGAAGGCUAAAUAUACGGUCUUUCAGAUUAUCAAUUCCUGGUGUAAAAUGAAUAGAAGAGAAAAUUUUUCACUUGACAGAUGAAAGAAAGCAAGCACCCCCAUCCCUUUUCUUCAUACAACUUAGGAAAGGUACCUAGUACUUUUUUGUUGUUUUCUCUUGAAAUACACCACUUCAAAUGCAAUGAGUUCAUUUACCAGGGAAGGGGGGAAAAUCUUGAACAACUUAGAAGCAAUAUGUGGAAUAAAAACACAAACAAACAGAGAACAAUUGGAGGGAAAGGAGGCAGAAAUCUCACAUCAUGUGCAUUAUAAAAUGUCAUAUCUUAGUAUCUUCCUAUGAAGAUCCUCAAGGGAAAAUAAUAACUAUAAUUUUGAUAGUACUUAAUUUGAGACUCAUAAUUACUACCUGCAACAGCUUCCGUUGAAUUAAUUUAAAAAUUUAAAAUAUUCAAUCUAUACACUUCCUGGCCUGUUGCUCUAUUUAUUUCAGAGGCAUCAGAUGAAAUGAACAUCAGGACUUGGGUACAAGUCAUCAGAAAAUUAUCUGAGACCAACAGAAGAGGACACAGUGUUAGGUGAUGAGGACGUAGCUUAGCUGUGCCACACCAGCCUGGCAAGCGAAACAUCCCCAGUCCCCAGUACUGGGGGCGAAGGGGACACAGUGUUAAGAUUCCUCCCUGUCUCCGUGGGAAGACCACAUCCGGAAGUCCCCAGUUGCUUGUGUUUGCUUUUGCCAUUAUGACUUCAGUUCCAUGAAUUAUGUGUCAACUAAGCCUCUGUUACCCUUGUUACCUGUCUGCUCUCUUCCCAUAAGUGCUGGGUUUGCACAGAAAACAAGUUCUAGAGGCAACCCUGAAUUCCAGAGGCAACUCUGGGGAAAAACGACAGAGCUCAGAGACAAAGAGAAGGGAUUCAGAAAGGGGGCAAAUGUUCUGAAGAGAAGGGAAGAAUCAGCAGCCAGGGAAAGUGAGAACAAGCAUGAGGAGGACACAGAGAUGACCAUGGACCCCUGGCCAGCAGUUCCUACUGUGGACACUCCAGUGCCGGAAAGAGGAGUGGAAGAGCAGAAUGCAGCCAAGGAAACUGAGAAGAAAGGAUCACAGAGCUAGGAAUAAAAGCAGAAGGCUGCAAGCUAUCUUGAAGGGAGGAAAGAGAUACCUCAGGUUCCUGAAUUUAAAUGCCAUCUAUGCACCAGUGAUGGUAGAGAGGAAGAAACUUUCCCUUGCCUCUUAGAUUCUGUAACAGGGGCCUAUGAAUUAAACUGACAAAAUAAAGAAUAAGAGAAGAAAAACAUACAAAUUUUAUUUAAUGUUAAUUUUAUUUAACGUUAUUUACCAUUCAUGGAAGCUUUACAGCAAAAAUAAAAAAGUAAACCCUUACCACCACCACUGGGCUCAAUUCCCAGCACUAAGGGAAAAAAGUAAAAAACCUAAGCAGUAUUUACAUUUGAAGGUUUAUAUAUCAUCUUAACAAAGACUGAUAACUUGCAGAGAAAUGACUUCAUAAAAGAGAAGGGGUUUGGGCUUCCAAGGGCAGGUAAAUUGUGGGUAGGUGGAUCUAUGGGAGUAGAGAGGGUUAUUUAGUAAGAUUUGUGUAUCAAACUCAUCUCAGUGCUGUCUACAGCACUGGUGACAAAGGUUGUUUCCCUGUACCAGGAAGAGUAUAUAUCUACAGGGCAAAUGUAUACCCUGGUUUUUUUUUAUUUUUUAUUUUUAUUUUUUGGUACUGGGGAUCAAAUUCAGGACCUUGCACUUGUAAGGCAGGUAGCAGAGCCACUGAGCUAAAUUCCCAGUCCUACCCUGUUUUUUAAAUGGCAGACAAGGAGGAAGGCAGAAAGCUCUUCUGGUGUCUACUUUUCUUCAUUGCCUUCAGAUCAAAAUACUCCUUAGGGCAAAACAGCAUAUUUUGGGUGGCAUGUUCUGAUUCUCCUCAAUUCCCAAAUUUCUAUUUCCAUCCUGGAUCUCUUUCUGAACUCCACUGUUCAUAUAGCAAACUGUAUAUUCUACAUCUCUACUUAGGUGUUCUUUAGGCUUUUAAACAUUUACAAACCAAAAACCAAAUAUCAGACCUUUUCCAGUCUUAAUCUUUCCCAUUUUAGUAAGCUGCGAUUCUGUUCUUCUAGUGAAGUCAAAAGUCUUAGAGUCAUCCUUGAUUCCUCUCUCCCUCAUAUUCAGAACCCCACUGAUUCUAUCUUCAGAAUAUAACCAGAGUCGCAGCACCACCUAACACUUCCACUGCCACAACCCAAGUAAGUCUAAGGCACCACUGUCUCUCACUUGUUUGCUACAACAGCCUAAUAACUGAACCUCCUGCCUUCUAUCCCUGCACCUCUUUCCAUAGUCCAUUCUCAGCCCAUCACUCAGAAUCCUUUUAAAAGAAAAGCCAUAGCAUGUAGUAAAGAAUAGUUUAUGUAGUUAGCUUAUGAUUGAGGCAGCUCGCUAGGGGAAGGGCCUGAGUUAAAGUCUGGUAAUCAGCCAUAUUGAUGGGAAUUGAAAUAAGAAGAGACAGUGAUCUAGGCCUUUGGACUAAGAAUGAACUUCCUCAGGCAACAUGGAAUCCAGCCCCCUCCCUACUAAAGGAGGUCCAGCAAUUUGCAGCUAACCUAAGAGAGAGUUUUGAGGAAUUCAAAAUACAAUGAACUUCCUUGGGCAACAGGGAAUACAGCCCACUCCCUACUAUACUCCUGAGUGCUGAGGAAUUUAAAAUGCAAAAUACUGUAGCCAGUUCCUAAAAUCCUAGUUUCCUUUAAAUCCUACAUGCUGAAGAACUGCGUUAGAGAGCCUGAGUUCCAACUGGUCAUUUUAAAUCCACAGAGCCACCUGUGAUAUGUGGUCAGUAAACAAUUGAGCAAUUUUUGUGCUCUGCUUAUCUACAAUUACUCUGGCUGGAGGAGCCACGUGGCCACCCACUCAGGAUACCUUGGAAAUCCAAGAGCUAUACUUAUUAUUUCCAAUAAAAACUGAUUUGCAGUUUUAUUCCUCAAUGUUGUGAGACCAUGAGCCCAGGACAUAUGAUAAUAAUGUCACUUCUCUGGCCCUAGUCAGUUUAGCGCACUGCCUGAUAGCAUCCAUUUUACUCAGAGUGAAAACCCAGGUCCUUACAACAGCCCACAAAACCCUAUGGAGCCUGGCUCUGUUUCCUUUCUGAAUUUAACCCCUAGUUCCGUCCCUCUUUUGGAUCUACUUCAAAUGUGACUUCACUGUUCCUCAAAUGUACCCAACUCUCCCACCUCUGGACUUUUGUAAGUGCUGUUCAAUCCACCUGAAGUACAGGACCCUCAAAUCCCCCACUGAGCUUACUUCUCUUCCUUCAUAGCUUUUUUGCCAAAAGUAAUCCCUUCAAAGAGAACUGCUCUGAUUUUUUUUUUUUUUUUUUUUUUUUUUUUUUUUUUUUUUUU
This is a long non-coding RNA of Fukomys damarensis (Damara mole-rat), 3580 nucleotides long. The record is from Ensembl. Lineage: Eukaryota; Metazoa; Chordata; Mammalia; Rodentia; Bathyergidae.